RNAcentral lists this ribosomal RNA (2013 nucleotides) under Triticum aestivum (bread wheat). RNAcentral's name for it is "partial small subunit ribosomal RNA". The record is from RNAcentral. Lineage: Eukaryota; Viridiplantae; Streptophyta; Magnoliopsida; Poales; Poaceae.
AUGCAGCCCAAGAUCACUAGUGCUUUGGAUCCUAAUUCAAGAGAUGCACUUGGCCUAGCUUGGUCCAAGUUUUUUCAUGCCAAUGAUAUUGCUGGACAUAAAGCUGAUUGCCCAUACUUCCGAGCUGCUGUGAAGAUCACUCAACAAUUAGGGCCUGCUCCUAUACCAACCGCAAAGGAUAUUGAUGGGAAAUAUUUGGAGGCUAACUAUGAUGAAGCUACUUCCUUUCUUCAAAAAUUUAAACAAGAUUGGAAAAACUUCGGUGUGACUCUUAUGUGUGACUCUUGGACUGGUCCAACAGGAAUGAGCCUCAUAAACUUCAUGGUAUAUUGUAAUACACGAAUGUUCUUCCUCAAUACCAUUGAUGCAUCCGGUCAGACUCAGAAUUCAGACUUUAUCUAUAGAGAGAUUGAGAAGGUUGUAGAAGAGAUAGGCCAUGAACAUAUUGUUCAAAUAGUAACCGAUAAUGGGUCCAACUAUAAGAAAGCUUGCAAAACCCUUAUAGAAGAACCAAAAUACUCUCAUAUUGUUUGGCAACCGUGUGCUGCCCACACCGUCAAUCUUAUGUUAAAAGAUAUAGCCAAAUUUCCCGAGGUUGAUGUGAUAGUCAAGAGUGCCAAGACAAUCUGUAGGUUCUUGCAUAAGCACAAUAACCUACAUGAUAACAUGAAGAAGAACAUAGGUGGUGAACUAAUUAGACCAAAUGCCACCCGUUUUGGGACUGUCUUCAUGUUCCUUGAGAGUUACCAUUUGAAGAAAGAUAAAUUUAGGGAGUGGAUGGUUUCGACUGAUUGGAAGGAGUGUCAGUGGAGGUAUGAGCCUGGAUAUGUGUUUGUUGAAGAAUGUUUGUCUAGUAAUGUUUGGUGGAACACGCUAGAGUGGGUAUUGGGUUCAUUGAGGCCACUUUAUAAGGCCAUGAGGUAUGCUGAUACACAGAAACAAUGCACUCUUUCUGGAUUCAAGAAAAGUAUGAUGCUCGCUAUACAAGGGAUGGAAGCACAUCUAGGCCCUACAUCAAGGUUGUACCUUAGUUUCAUGCGCAAGGUGGGCAAGAGGAUAGAGGCAAGGGAAGAAGAUACAUUUAUGGUUGCAGCUGUUGUCCUUGAUCCAUAUACACAUUACAAGCUCAACCUUUGCAACCAUACAGAUUAUGCUACCUCACUAACAGAUGCGAUAGCGAAGAUAUUAGAUCCAAAGAGUGCUCUUUCAGCCAUUGAUGAAGUAAGUAAGUUUAGGGAGUGCCAAGGGAGGUUUGGGACCAGAUUAGCAGAAGAAGCUGCGGCGAGAAUGGAGCCAACCCAAUGGUGGUUUCAAUUUGGAGGGGAUGUUCCUGCAUUGCAGAAGUGUGCAAUGAGAAUUUGCUCACAAUGUAUCUCAUCAAGUGGGUGUGAGAGGAAUUGGAGCGCCUUUGCUUUGGUGCACACAAAGCAAAGAAAUCGUCUUUUAUAUGACAAGCUCCACAAGCUAGUUUCUGUAUGCUACAACCUAAAGAUACGUGCUGAAGAAGAUCAAGAGAAAGAUAUAGAUAAUGAAGUUGAUCCAAGUGCACUGCUGAUGGACACAACAAUGUUUGAUGAAGCAAAUCCAAUAAUGGAGUGGCUGAAUGAGGAUGAAGAGGAUCCAAUUGUGGAUGGAGCUAAUGAAGCCAGUGCUGUUUUUGAGAAAAUAAGGCGUCUCAAUUCAGGCAGGAAGGAUUCUUAUGUUGGUACAAAGGGUAAUAAGAAGAAAAGGAAGAGGAAUCAUGAUGAGGAGAAUGAGUAUGUCGAAACUGAGAGUGAGGAUGACGACGAAGAUAAUGAGUAUGUUGAUAAUGAGAGUGAGGAUGAUGAUGGGGUGAGUGAGGAUGAUGAGGAUGAUCAACAAGAUCAGCAAGAGACACAAAUGCAAGUGGAAGAAGAGACACAAGUACAAGCUGAAAAGGAGACAGCAGCAAGUGUUGGCAAUUUGGAGACUCGUAGAUCUGGACGACUAGUUAGGAAGAAGACCAAGGAAGUGAAUAGCCUCUACUCGUAG